RNAcentral lists this transfer RNA (69 nucleotides) under Ictidomys tridecemlineatus (thirteen-lined ground squirrel). RNAcentral describes it as "Spermophilus tridecemlineatus (thirteen-lined ground squirrel) tRNA". It matches the Rfam family "tRNA". From Rfam's summary of the family: Transfer RNA (tRNA) molecules are approximately 80 nucleotides in length. The record is from Rfam by way of RNAcentral. Lineage: Eukaryota; Metazoa; Chordata; Mammalia; Rodentia; Sciuridae.
GGAGUUGUGGCUCAGUGAUAGAGCGCUCGCCUGACGUAUGUGAGGUACUAAGUUCAAUCCUUAGCACCA